Fukomys damarensis (Damara mole-rat) is the source of this 136-nucleotide small nucleolar RNA. Lineage: Eukaryota; Metazoa; Chordata; Mammalia; Rodentia; Bathyergidae. The record is from Ensembl.
GUGGCCCUGAAUCAAGGCCAGCAGUUUGCUGAAGCUGCUGGUUUCAAACAGGAGCCUAAAGGAAGUCUUUCUAUGGUCUGUUGGCCAUUUCAGAACUUUGGAAAUGUAAUGGUCAAUUCAUUAGAAAGAACCAGCU